Molecule: long non-coding RNA, 471 nt
Filed under: Homo sapiens (human)
Lineage: Eukaryota; Metazoa; Chordata; Mammalia; Primates; Hominidae
Description: non-protein coding lnc-C9orf66-4:1
Source: RNAcentral
UUUAGCUUUUGUUUGAGAGGUUUCUCUCUUCCUGGUCAAGAAGCCACAUGACCCGAAUGUAACUAGGACGGUGUUGUUGAGCACUUGCUUGUGGACCCCUCUGGGGUCUGCAGAUGACUGGCAGGAUGCUGGAGCCUGCAGGUUUUGCUAGUUUCCUACUUGCAUGGAUCCUUUCUUGCCCCAGCUCUGGAUAGGUUCCCAGGCUUCAUUAGAAUUCAUGGACGGUUAUCUGCAAAGACUUCUGGACAAGAAGCACAGAAAAAUGGAUCUGUGGCAGUCAUGGUUCCUGGACUUCUAGAAAUGACUAUAUUCCAGGAGAUGCAGAAAUGCUACUGAACAUGGAUGUGCAGCACCACAGAAAACCUAUGUGGGAUCCUGAUCACCAGUGGAAGCCCGGCUCCUUAGAGAGCUAAGAUGGAACAAAGAAAAUUCCCAGGCCCGGGAACCACCAGAGGUACUACCUUAUUUGCU